RNAcentral lists this transfer RNA (66 nucleotides) under uncultured Ruminococcus sp. It matches the Rfam family "tRNA". Rfam says of the family: Transfer RNA (tRNA) molecules are approximately 80 nucleotides in length. Their secondary structure includes four short double-helical elements and three loops (D, anti-codon, and T loops). Lineage: Bacteria; Bacillati; Bacillota; Clostridia; Eubacteriales; Oscillospiraceae. The record is from RNAcentral.
GGUAUAGCCAAGCGGUAAGGCACCGGAUUCUGAUUCCGGCAUUUCAAAGGUUCAAAUCCUUUUACC